GCUGGCGGCAGGCUUACACAUGCAAGUCGAGCGGGCGUAGCAAUACGUCAGCGGCAGACGGGUGAGUAACGCGUGGGAACGUACCUUUUGGUUCGGAACAACACAGGGAAACUUGUGCUAAUACCGGAUAAGCCCUUACGGGGAAAGAUUUAUCGCCGAAAGAUCGGCCCGCGUCUGAUUAGCUAGUUGGUGAGGUAACGGCUCACCAAGGCGACGAUCAGUAGCUGGUCUGAGAGGAUGAUCAGCCACAUUGGGACUGAGACACGGCCCAAACUCCUACGGGAGGCAGCAGUGGGGAAUAUUGGACAAUGGGGGCAACCCUGAUCCAGCCAUGCCGCGUGAGUGAUGAAGGCCCUAGGGUUGUAAAGCUCUUUUGUGCGGGAAGAUAAUGACGGUACCGCAAGAAUAAGCCCCGGCUAACUUCGUGCCAGCAGCCGCGGUAAUCGAAGGGGGCUAGCGUUGCUCGGAAUCACUGGGCGUAAAGGGUGCGUAGGCGGGUCUUUAAGUCAGAGGUGAAAUCCUGGAGCUCAACUCCAGAACUGCCUUUGAUACUGAGGGAUCUUGAGUUCAGGAAAAGGUGAGUGGAACUUGCAA
RNAcentral lists this ribosomal RNA (594 nucleotides) under uncultured bacterium. RNAcentral's name for it is "bacterial SSU rRNA". It matches the Rfam family "Bacterial small subunit ribosomal RNA", at positions 35 to 673 of the family's 1533-position model. The record is from RNAcentral.